AAUGAACGCUGGCGGCAGGCCUAACACAUGCAAGUCGAACGGAUCCUUCGGGAUUAGUGGCGGACGGGUGAGUAACGCGUGGGAACGUGCCCUUUGGUUCGGAAUAGCCUCGGGAAACUGGGAGUAAUACCGGAUAAGCCCUUCGGGGGAAAGAUUUAUCGCCAAAGGAUCGGCCCGCGUUGGAUUAGGUAGUUGGUGGGGUAAUGGCCUACCAAGCCGACGAUCCAUAGCUGGUUUGAGAGGAUGAUCAGCCACACUGGGACUGAGACACGGCCCAGACUCCUACGGGAGGCAGCAGUGGGGAAUCUUAGACAAUGGGGGAAACCCUGAUCUAGCCAUGCCGCGUGAUCGAUGAAGGCCUUAGGGUUGUAAAGAUCUUUCAGUUGGGAAGGUAAUGACGGUACCAACAGAAGAAGCCCCGGCUAACUCCGUGCCAGCAGCCGCAGUAA
This 449-nucleotide ribosomal RNA is filed under the name uncultured bacterium. RNAcentral's name for it is "partial 16S ribosomal RNA". It matches the Rfam family "Bacterial small subunit ribosomal RNA", at positions 29 to 523 of the family's 1533-position model. The record is from RNAcentral.